Myotis brandtii (Brandt's bat) is the source of this 117-nucleotide long non-coding RNA. RefSeq lists it as uncharacterized. The transcript is spliced from 3 exons. Lineage: Eukaryota; Metazoa; Chordata; Mammalia; Chiroptera; Vespertilionidae. The record is from RefSeq and is a predicted model, not a curated record.
AUCCUUUCUGAUUGGUUGGUAUUUCUGAAUUCUUAGGAUAUUACUAGUAUUCCCAGAAUUGGGAUCACUGGGCCAAAUGGGAGUUCCAUUUUUAAUUUUUUGAGGAAACUCCAUAUU